Molecule: non-coding RNA, 47 nt
Organism: Erinaceus europaeus (western European hedgehog)
Lineage: Eukaryota; Metazoa; Chordata; Mammalia; Eulipotyphla; Erinaceidae
Source: Rfam
CAAAAGGCCCUUUUCAGGGCCGCCCACUACUCUGAAGGAGCUGUAGU